This 1167-nucleotide long non-coding RNA is filed under the name Heterocephalus glaber (naked mole-rat). RNAcentral's name for it is "lncRNA (ENSHGLG00000042204.1)". The record is from RNAcentral. Lineage: Eukaryota; Metazoa; Chordata; Mammalia; Rodentia; Bathyergidae.
GGGGUUGAGUGGGGUCCCCUCUCUCCUGUGCUGCUCUCCCUACGUGAAGAGCUUGUGCUCUGAAGUGUAGAAAAGCCAACACGUAGGCAGUGGUACGAAUGUGUGAGUUUUCCUACCCUUUAGAAUCUUUUAAUAACUCUUCUAAAUAGGUUUCUUAAAAAUAGGUGAUGGGGAGGUAUGUCCUUCCUUCCUCCUUCAGCCAGUCUUGAAUCUGCACACACAUUUAGAAGCUAUCCCAGGUCAGUGUCUGUCCCUGAGUGGGUCAGACACUAAAACCGGAGAGUUCCUGGUGUUUAAAACUUCUAAAUCUCCCAAUUGACUUCUUAAAAAAUAGCAUUUGAAUUUCUGCUAUAUGCAGUAACUCUGGGUGCUCCCUUUAGUCAGCUCUUAGAGCUACUCAUUUUUCCUCUAAGAAAGACGUGUUCCUAUUGCCUGAACAUUCACACCUUCCAAGAACAUCAGAAGCAGGAAAAGGUGGGGCCAGGGAGAGGUGCAGUGUUAAGUUACCAUUGUGCAAAUUACAUUGCGCAAAUCACUAGAACUAAGCUGGACUUUGUAGUGUUCCACGCUAAGUGAGAUUGGCAUACUCUUAUGAUCAGUGGAGGCAGAGUGGGUGUUUUAGCAGCCAGUAAGCACACCUGACUGAACAAGACAGACUUAGGCUUUGAAGUUAGAUGGAUACGGAUGUUCUGUCAGAACCGGGAAUGCUAGACGGGUGCAUGCUGUUCUGUAGAAAUGAAUCCUGUCUUGAAACUGGGUUUUGCUCCUUCUGCAGUCUAUCCAAAAUCAUUUUGGUACAGCCUGAAAAUCUGUUAUAUCAGAAUUGUCUGCAAAGUGAGAACAUGAUUAGUACUGGGUGGGCCUCACAUCCUCUUCUGACUUCUGGAACCAGGGCCCUCAGUGUUCUCUGCCUGUGGCUGUGUGGGGUGGUGCUCCACGCUCCAUGCCCUAGGCUCAGCCAUGCAGCCCCGGGAUCUGGGAGAUGCCAGUGUGUAAAGGAUGGGAACUGAAUGUCAAACAGCUUUUGGGCCCCUCCCUUUGCUGUGUCAGCUGUAAAUCAAGUAAUAAACAUGAAUAACUUCUUCAAGUUUCCUUUGUCUCACUGUGUUUUUGUCCCAACUUCUCUACACAGAUAACACUCUGGUCUUUCCUUUAUGUCAUUGUUUU